Molecule: ribosomal RNA, 236 nt
Filed under: uncultured bacterium
Lineage: Bacteria
Description: partial 16S ribosomal RNA
Rfam family: Bacterial small subunit ribosomal RNA
Source: RNAcentral
CGGCACGGGUGAGUAACACGUAUCCAACCUGCCGUCUACUCUUGGACAGCCUUCUGAAAGGAAGAUUAAUACAAGAUGGCAUCAUGAGUACGCAUGUUCACAUGAUUAAAGGUAUUCCGGUAGACGAUGGGGAUGCGUUCCAUUAGAUAGUAGGCGGGGUAACGGCCCACCUAGUCUUCGAUGGAUAGGGGUUCUGAGAGGAAGGUCCCCCACAUUGGAACUGAGACACGGUCCAA